RNAcentral lists this ribosomal RNA (497 nucleotides) under uncultured bacterium. RNAcentral describes it as "partial 16S ribosomal RNA". It matches the Rfam family "Bacterial small subunit ribosomal RNA", at positions 29 to 507 of the family's 1533-position model. The record is from RNAcentral.
AAUGAACGCUGGCGGCGUGCCUAACACAUGCAAGUCGAACGAACACACGAUGAGCUUGCUCCUUUACCGUUAGCGACUGACGGGUGAGUAAGACGUACGUCACCUACCUCUAUGACUGGGAUAACUUCGUAAAACCGGAGCUAAUACUACCUCAUAUUUCGAACCGCAUGGUUCGAUAGUGAAUGAUAGCUUUCCUGUCUCUUAUAGCUGGUCUGGUGUCGUAUUAGCUAGUUGGUAAGGUACCGGCCCACCAAGGCGACGAUCCGUAGCUGAUCUGAGAGGAUGAUCAGCAACACUGGAACUGAGACACGGUCCAGACUCCUACGGGAGGCAGCAGUGGGGAAUAUUGGACAAUGGGCGCAAGCCUGAUCCAGCCAUACCGCGUGGGUGAAGAAGGCCUUCGGGUUGUAAAGCCCUUUUGUUGGGAAAGAAAAGCAGCAGGUUAAUACCCCGCUGUUCUGACGGUACCCAAAGAAUAAGCACCGGCUAACUUCGUG